GGAGUACGCGGCGGGAGACCGGCUGACGGAGUACGCGGCGGGAGACCGGCUGACGGAGUACGCGGCGGGAGACCGGCUGACGGAGUACGCGGCGGGGUGGACCCAGGCGGAAUACCCGGCGAGGUGGACCCAGGCGGAAUACCCGGCGAGGUGGACCCAGGCGGAAUACCCGGCGAGAGAGAGACUGGCGGAAUACCAGGCCACUCCUUGGGAAGGCUUACAUCAGUUUACAGAGCACAUGGGGACAGGAAAGGUGACCGACCAAGAACAGACACGUCAGGUUGGAACCUCACAGCUGGAGCCUUCGCCGUUAAGAUGGCUCAGUGUUCCCCAGGUGUUUCUGCACCCGGACACUCCGGCAGCUAAGAGAAUUGCCGGACCGAGCCAUCUGUCCAAGUACCUUAAAGUGAAGGGCCUUCACGACACCGAGCCUAUUAUAGGUCUUGGUAGUGUGUUGGAGUGUCGAGGUAUAUCUCAAGCUACAUUCUUCAUGUGCGUGACCUGUGCUGAGACUUUCUCCAGCACGCACAUCUGUGAACACAUCAUCAGUGCACGGCACCAGCAGUACUACAUGAUUGCCCAGUAUGGUGGUGUCCUCUACGAGUGGCUGAGGGAACUACAGCUGCCCCCGAGUCCACACCUCCUCAGGGAGUUCGCCUGGAGACUGUCACAACUGGAGGUGGAGAUCGACGCACAGGUGAUGCUGCUGGACCCCAUGUGGUAUAAACAUGUGCAGUCAGCUCCGUUUUACCGAGCCAUGCAAUUGCUGCAGGAACAGAACCAGAGCGCCUUGGUUAUGCACACUGCAACCAGACAACAGCUUUCUCUCCCAGCUGAUCCUGACCUGGAAACGGAGCAGGGCUUUGACCAGAGAUACAGGAAAAUGAAUGAACUAACCAUGGAUCAAACUGCGCCUGGUCAUUCCCUGUGGACAUCAGAUACAGGGACUGUUAAACAGCCUGAAGACCUGUUUGAGUCAGUCCAGAGCCUGCAGACGGCAGAAGAAUGGACCAAUACUCUGAACCCAGAUCUGCCUCAGAUCAGCCAAAGAUCAGAAAGGGAAGAGCAUUUUGUGCCAGUCGGAGCCCAGGCACCCCGGAACUCUGAGCCAGUCGGAGCCCAGGCACCCCGGAACUCUGAGCCAAUGUCAACACAGAACCAUGAACCAGUCGGAGCCCAGACACCCCGGAACUCUGAGCCAAUGUCAACACAGAACCAUGAACCAGUCGGAGCCCAGACACCCCGGAACUCUGAGCCAAUGUCAACACCGACACACCAGAGCUCAGAGCCAGUCGGAGCCCAGGCCCUCCAGAACUAUGAGCCAGUCGGGGCCCAGGCCCUCCAGAACUAUGAGCCAGUCGGGGCCCAGGCCCUCCAGAACUAUGAGCCAGUCGG
Long non-coding RNA from Esox lucius (northern pike), 1395 nucleotides. The record is from Ensembl. Lineage: Eukaryota; Metazoa; Chordata; Actinopteri; Esociformes; Esocidae.